Molecule: ribosomal RNA, 496 nt
Filed under: uncultured bacterium
Lineage: Bacteria
Description: partial 16S ribosomal RNA
Rfam family: Bacterial small subunit ribosomal RNA
Source: RNAcentral
GAUGAACGCUGGCGGCGUGCCUAAUACAUGCAAGUCGAGCGAACAGGCGAGGAGCUUGCUCCUCUGACGUUAGCGGCGGACGGGUGAGUAACACGUGGAUAACCUACCUAUAAGACUGGGAUAACUUCGGGAAACCGGAGCUAAUACCGGAUAAUAUAUUGAACCGCAUGGUUCAAUAGUGAAAGACGGUUUUGCUGUCACUUAUAGAUGGAUCCGCGCCGCAUUAGCUAGUUGGUAAGGUAACGGCUUACCAAGGCAACGAUGCGUAGCCGACCUGAGAGGGUGAUCGGCCACACUGGAACUGAGACACGGUCCAGACUCCUACGGGAGGCAGCAGUAGGGAAUCUUCCGCAAUGGGCGAAAGCCUGACGGAGCAACGCCGCGUGAGUGAUGAAGGUCUUCGGAUCGUAAAACUCUGUUAUUAGGGAAGAACAAAUGUGUAAGUAACUAUGCACGUCUGGACGGUACCUAAUCAGAAAGCCACGGCGAACUACGU